GAUGAACGCUGGCGGCGUGCCUAAUACAUGCAAGUCGAACGAACAGACGAGGAGCUUGCUCCUCUGACGUUAGCGGCGGACGGGUGAGUAACACGUGGAUAACCUACCUAUAGGACUGGGAUAACUUCGGGAAACCGGAGCUAAUACCGGAUAAUAUAUUGAACCGCAUGGUUCAAUAGUGAAAGACGGUUUUGCUGUCACUUAUAGAUGGAUCCGCGCCGCAUUAGCUAGUUGGUAAGGUAACGGCUUACCAAGGCAACGAUGCGUAGCCGACCUGAGAGGGUGAUCGGCCACACUGGAACUGAGACACGGUCCAGACUCCUACGGGAGGCAGCAGUAGGGAAUCUUCCGCAAUGGGCGAAAGCUUGACGGAGCAACGCCGCGUGAGUGAUGAAGGUCUUCGGAUCGUAAAACUCUGUUAUUAGGGAAGAACAAAUGUGUAAGUAACUAUGCACGUCUUGACGGUACCUAAUCAGAAAGCCACGGCUAACUACGUG
This 497-nucleotide ribosomal RNA is filed under the name uncultured bacterium. RNAcentral's name for it is "partial 16S ribosomal RNA". It matches the Rfam family "Bacterial small subunit ribosomal RNA", at positions 28 to 507 of the family's 1533-position model. The record is from RNAcentral.